The sequence is a transfer RNA, 88 nucleotides long. It matches the Rfam family "tRNA". Rfam says of the family: Transfer RNA (tRNA) molecules are approximately 80 nucleotides in length. Their secondary structure includes four short double-helical elements and three loops (D, anti-codon, and T loops). Further hydrogen bonds mediate the characteristic L-shaped molecular structure. tRNAs have two regions of fundamental functional importance: the anti-codon, which is responsible for specific mRNA codon recognition, and the 3' end, to which the tRNAs corresponding amino acid is attached (by aminoacyl-tRNA synthetases). tRNAs cope with the degeneracy of the genetic code in two manners: having more than one tRNA (with a specific anti-codon) for a particular amino acid; and 'wobble' base-pairing, i.e. permitting non-standard base-pairing at the 3rd anti-codon position.
ACCGAGGUGGUGGAAUUGGUAGACACGCUACCUUGAGGUGGUAGUGCCUAUUUUUGGUUUACGGGUUCAACUCCCGUCCUCGGUAUCA